This 440-nucleotide ribosomal RNA is filed under the name uncultured Sulfitobacter sp. Its description in RNAcentral is "bacterial SSU rRNA". It matches the Rfam family "Bacterial small subunit ribosomal RNA", at positions 97 to 570 of the family's 1533-position model. Lineage: Bacteria; Pseudomonadati; Pseudomonadota; Alphaproteobacteria; Rhodobacterales; Roseobacteraceae. The record is from RNAcentral.
GGCGGACGGGUUUAGUUAACGCGUGGGAACGUACCCUUUUCUACGGAAUAGCCUCGGGAAACUGAGAGUAAUACCGUAUACGCCCUUCGGGGGAAAGAUUUAUCGGAGAAGGAUCGGCCCGCGUAAGAUUAGAUAGUUGGUGGGGUAAUGGCCUACCAAGUCUACGAUCUUUAGCUGGUUUGAGAGGAUGAUCAGCAACACUGGGACUGAGACACGGCCCAGACUCCUACGGGAGGCAGCAGUGGGGAAUCUUAGACAAUGGGGGAAACCCUGAUCUAGCCAUGCCGCGUGAGUGACGAAGGCCUUAGGGUCGUAAAGCUCUUUCGCUGGGGAAGAUAAUGACUGUACCCAGUAAAGAAACCCCGGCUAACUCCGUGCCAGCAGCCGCGGUAAUACGGAGGGGGUUAGCGUUGUUCGGAAUUACUGGGCGUAAAGCGCGC